Molecule: long non-coding RNA, 1847 nt
Organism: Hemicordylus capensis (graceful crag lizard)
Lineage: Eukaryota; Metazoa; Chordata; Lepidosauria; Squamata; Cordylidae
Exons: 3
Source: RefSeq, a predicted model, not a curated record
GAGCAUGGCCUCAAGCUCCGAAGAGCCCGAGCAAGCUCUUCGGAGUCAUUUCAGGCUUGCUUUCAGGCAGCAAACACUGGCAAGUGCUCGUUGGGGGUGGGGGGAGAAUCCUAGUAGCCUGGGCGGGGUUGCUUGUUCCCAUUUGCAACCACUGUGGCUGCCUGCCCUGCUGGCUCUGGCUUCCUGCAAUCUAUUCAGCUUCUGUUCUUGCUGCAAGUGACCCACCCCAGAGUCCAACGUGAGAUGAGAAGGAAAUUUAAGCAGAGUAACAAGCUUCCUAUAGAACAUGGUUCCUCUGCGGUGGGCUGCAGUUUAUUGAUUUUGAAAAGAGAGCUGCUUCUAUUCUUCAAGAACAGGAAUGAACAAAAGGCUUCUCAAAGGACUGGUCUCCUCUGACCAUGCAAAAUGAGGAAGAAGAAGAGCAAAUACAAGAGAAUCAGUUGACUCCUGGCCCAUUUUAGUCUUUCUCCUUCCCAUGAUUUCUCUUAGGGGUGUUUACAGUUUGGACCAUUUGACCCUGAAGAAGGGUUUUGUGAGCCCAAUAGUUGUGGGCUUUCCUUUUUCUUUUCCACUAAUAUGAUGGCCUAGCAAAAGAACCACUUGCACUUAUUCUCUGUCCAUUAUUGUGUGGUACUAACACUACCUUAAAUACAUAUUAAAGCUAUGCUUUCUGACCCUUUAUUUGUACCCCAAACCUACCUGAGGUUUGGGCUGCAACUACAUUUCAAAACACAGCUUUUAUGCUGGACUUUAAAUAGAGUUGCCACUCAGCUGAUUCUGAAACCAGUUAUCUAAAUGUUCCCUUCUUUUGCCAGUCUGUUUUUUUAGCUCAAGCUAUUCAAUACCUAUUUUUACAUUUUGUUUAUAUUUAUGUAUGCAAAUGAGCAAUAGCCUUCUGCAAGAGUGGAUAGCAACCCUGCACUCAAAUGUGUACAGCAGGGGUUUUAUGGCUGUCAAGGAUUGAAAAUGAGAAAUAUAAAAAUGUUGCUUAUGUAAUGCCUCUUACACGAGACAUGAUUUGGGACAUAUUUAUUUGAUACACAAUUUCAUAUGUGUUUAUAUUUAUUCAAAAGAAAACUCAGAGCAGAUAACAAAGACAACAACCAAUCAAUACCGCAAUAUAAAAUUAGCAAACAAUAUAAAAAUUAUCUUUAAAAAUAACAAAUCUUAUUAGUUUCCAGUAUCCAAAAACAUAGCAGCAGCAGCCCAUCUCAUGGGUAUGUCAUGUAGCAGAUCCAUAUUUCAGGUAUAGAUGGGUGUAUAAAUAAGUAAAGAGGUUUAUUUGCUUUUUAAAAACUUUUAAAAGUUAAAAGCAUAUGGAACCAUUUUGUGAAUCCUUACACAGAGAGCCCCUGUUUUUGCUGAAAACAGCAGUUCUUAUUUUGCACACUAUUUGCACACUUAUUUUUCACACAGUCAAAACAAUUAGGUCAUUUGCCCCUGAUCUUACUUUUGUUUUGAAUUGGGAGGAGUGAAAGACUGAAAUCCUUUAAGGCAUGAAACAGUGUGCAGAGAGAGAGAGAGAGAGAGAAGGAAAACAUCUUGAGUGGUUACUGAAACGGAUUUGAGGACACCUGGAUGGAGAAGUCAACCUUUGAAUCAUUUCUUCAGCAAGCCCUCUAAGAGAGAGAAAGAAAUAGAUUUGUAUUAUGCAACUUGCUUUUUGGAACUUUUGACUUUUGCUAUUGCUACUGCUAUUGCUUUCUGAAACUAUACAACUUCUUCUUAAAGUUAUGUAUCUUGACAUCAUGUCAGUGCUUGAGUUUUGUACUUUUCUUUAAAUUAAUAUGCCCUGGCCUAAUGCCAACAUUUAUUUUGUUUGUUAACUGACAAAUAAAGAGAUUUAU